Molecule: ribosomal RNA, 434 nt
Filed under: uncultured Lachnospiraceae bacterium
Lineage: Bacteria; Bacillati; Bacillota; Clostridia; Lachnospirales; Lachnospiraceae
Description: partial 16S ribosomal RNA
Rfam family: Bacterial small subunit ribosomal RNA
Source: RNAcentral
ACGGGAGGCAGCAGUGGGGAAUAUUGCACAAUGGGGGAAACCCUGAUGCAGCGACGCCGCGUGAGUGAAGAAGUAUUUCGGUAUGUAAAGCUCUAUCAGCAGGAAAGAAAAUGACGGUACCUGACUAAGAAGCCCCGGCUAACUACGUGCCAGCAGCCGCGGUAAUACGUAGGGGGCAAGCGUUAUCCGGAUUUAUUGGGUUUAAAGGGUGCGUAGGCGGUAUGGUAAGUCAGCGGUGAAAUGUCCACGCUUAACGUGGAACGUGCCGUUGAUACUGUCGUACUGGAAUUCGGUUGCCGUGGGAGGAAUGUGUAGUGUAGCGGUGAAAUGCUUAGAUAUUACACAGAACACCAAUUGCGAAGGCAUCUCACGAAACCGACAUUGACGCUGAGGCACGAAAGUGUGGGGAUCAAACAGGAUUAGAUACCCUGGUA